UCUCUUCCAGCAGGUCAUUCCAGUCUGGGGGCAGCAGAUGAAAAGGUCUUCUAGGAAACCGUUGUCAGUCUUGGCCAAUUGAAGCAAACAUUUCCCAGAAGACCUGAAUGUACACUGUACGGGAGAAGGCAAUCCAUAAAGCCACCCAUGGCUUGAAAAUAUUUAAAUAUAUAGAUAAAUUUCCAAAAGCAAACCUAUAUUUUGCCAUUGUAUUUGAGGGACACCAUUUUAUUAUGCCCUUGUAUUAAAUGGGACUUGCGCAUCCACAGAUUUUGUUAUCCAAGAGGGAUCCUGAAACCAAACCCCAAGCCCACUGUACAAGACUGCCCCUGAAACCUAUGUCUCUAAAGUUCCCUGAUGCGGCAUUUUGUCUGAACUCCCACGCUUAUGAAAGCUUAUCAUUCAAAUAGGAACACUGGCUAUAGUUGCAAUUAAACUUUAAUAUGUUUAAAAAGUGGGCUAAGAGGAGUAAAAAAAAAUAAAUCAAAUUCCUAUGCCUGCACCAAAAUAUUAGCUUUCUAUGGUGAAUGCAAAAUAAAAACACAAGAGACAUCUUUCAAGUAGAUGUUUUGUGCAGCUGCUCUGGAAAAUGGAAUGAUCUUAAAGGUUAGUUGCCAUAGCUCAUUGCUUUAAACAAACCCCACUGUGUGUUUGUGGUAUGUGGAUUAUGUGCUUCAUCUGGUGAUACGCCACUGCACACAUUUGGUAGAUUACUUUAUGGCAUUUGGAGGGAAGGGGAACAACUCCAGAAACUCUCCAGCCCUAAUCUCUGACUUGAUCCACUGCCUUGUCAUUUGACAGAGGGUCGGAACUCCUUUGGAAUUCCUCUCCAUCUGGAAUAGUUUUCUCCAUGUGGUGUUGUAACAUGGACUGCAGCCAAUAUCUCUUGCUGUAUUCUCCCUAUCUCUAUCCCCUAUGGUGGUGUUAAUGUCUUCCUGUGGGCACAUAUGUUUUGGCAGCAGCUGAAUUAAAUGCUGGGGGAAAUGUACAUUUACACAGAACUUUGAGAAGUGCAUUGGGCUUUUUGUUUCAUGGAAUGCACAGCAUAAUUACAAGAGAGAAGGAAGGGGGUAGCCAUUGGAGUGAGAUUACAUCAUUAGGGAUAAACUAUUAAUCCUUAAACUUCUUAUCUCAUAACUAUCUUUUCUAGGCAUUUUCUUCCAAACCCCCUUCAGGAAAAAAAAAUGGCUUUCUAACUCAGAAGGCAAAUAUCGGGUAUAUUGGCGUGGCAGAGAAACUGAUCUGUGAAUUAAAUAUUUUAUUGUGUUUACAAAAUUCCACAAUGUUUCCUCCCCAGCAUUUGUAUCACAUGGGAAAUGAUGGGCAAUUUUGUUCUAUUGAAAACACUACAUGCAACGUCUUGUGUUUUUAAAAUGGUAAGAUUCUGCUUCACAAACUUAAUCAAAUGUUGUUAAAAAUGUAAUUUUUAAAAAAUGGUUAAAUGGUUCAUGCAAUGUAAUAUGAGCUAUAGUUUAGUGUGGAGCACCGUUUUCUGAACAGGGCUGACAAGAAAUGAAAAUGAAGCUAGCCCUGCCAUUACAGAGUAAAGUGACUACCUUAGGCAGCAGUUAUUGAAGACUGGGGAGUGGAAGUGAGUUGUCAGAUGACAGAAUUUUGUGUGCCCCUUUGCAUGCCUUAUGACUUCUAAGGUAACCUGGUUUCCUCAGUUGGAGUGGAGAUAUUGUCCCAUAACCAGGGUCCAAGUGAGAUUCAACUGCCAGCCCAGUUGGCUUGUGUGCCGGGCACCAGAGGAGCACCAUUGUACCUUUGUCUCAAAAUGUCUUGUCCAGCCCAUCUAGAAAUGUUGAAAUAGAAAUAAGAACGUCAAGCCAUAUGCCUGUGAAACCUCAUGAGUUCUUGGUUUGGGGAGAGGCAAACAUGGGACAGGCAACCCAUUCUGAUGUCUCAGGCUGCGACUGUGGUCUUCAUAGUGAUCAAUGGUGGCAGUGGCAAGUAAGGGUGUGUGGUCACUGUCUAGUCUGCUGGGUGUUGUGACAGAGUUUCUGAGAAACUCCUUGGCAAACAGCUGGCUUUUUUUUUAAACCAGGACAAGGGCCAGCUGGGCUAGGGUUGGGCCAGAGGCAUUGGAGCAGUGUCUGGUCUACUUGAUCCUGCCCAGGUCAGAGGGAAAGAGAGCCUUUUGGCCCAUUCAUACAGCCCCUAGGAGGGAACAAAAGGAUACAUUCUAUAUAGAAUAAUUUCUGAAUUGCAUUUGCUUCUAUUUUGUAUUUUUGAUUUAGAGCAUUAAGAUUGCACCCAAAUGUUGCUCUAAUGCCGAGCAGCUCAGGAAGAAGAGUCCUGUAAUCAUUUCCUGCUCUGGCACCUCACUGGAUGCAUGGGACUUUGGGGUCACUGCAUGUGUGCCAAAUUGGAUACAUAAGAUUUUAGAGUGCAAUGGUGUUUUCAAUAUUCAGUUGUUGUUGUCCUCAUACAUCCCAGAAAAGGAUAUACCUGCACUAUGAGAAUGAAGGAUGAAAAUGUCAGCCUAAUUUAGUCCUUUCAUUCACAUAUUUAGCAAAGCAGCCUAUAAUUGCAUUGGGUGGUCUUUUUUUCUCAUCCCUCCUCCACCUUUUCAUUAACACACCAUGCUUCUGACUCAAGGUUAGGCAUCCUGAUGUCUGCCCAAGAGAAAGAAACAGAGAAGUUGUGUAAGCCUCAGAGUUGCCCUUCUUGUAAUGCCAGACAAUGUUUAUUUAAUACACAAAAUUAUCAGCCGCCUUGGCUCCCAGCCUGGGAGAAAGGCAACAUAUAAAUGAAUAAAUAAAAUAAAAUAAAAUAAAUGUGUAUAAAAUUAGCUUCAGGCUAUGUGGAGAAAGUGUAUAUGGACAUACAUGAAUAUCAUGAUAAGACUUGAGCCCUAUGUCCAAGAUUUAUCAUUAUAUUUAGGAAAACAUUUCAAAAUCUGAAUGAGUCCGUAAUCCAAAACACUUCUAGUCCCAAGCAUUUCAGAUAAGGGAGACCCAACAUGUCCAAAUCAUAAUCAAGAUCAUAAGCUCAUUGAUAUGCUGCCUUUCUUGUGAAGUGGGAGACAGCAUUUCCAGUUUCUGAUGCAAAGAAUUAUUUCAUUUUUAUUCCAAGGGGGACCCAAGGCAGCUCCCCAAAAGAAUCAGCUAAAAACUACGAAAUUUUAAAAUGUCAUUGAAACCAUCCCAUUGAAAGCAAUGUAACCCAUCUAUUUGGACCUGGUGGGGAAGUGGUCAGAUGGGUCAAAAUAUAAUGGGAUGUGUUUGUUUGUUUUGUUUCCUUGGAGAUCAGGGAGAAUCUUGGCCAACGGAUCCUUGGAAGUUGGAUUAGUUGAGGUCUAGAGGAGGUUGAAGGUGGAGAGACCUCAACUGACCAGAGGCAUAAUAUUCAUUUGGUUCUGGUCUCAUUGAUCGUUUGAAGCGCUCUCUUGGCUUCUCUGGCUGUUUCCUCUUCAUACCCAAAGACAUCCAGGCCACAGCUGGAGACAAAGAGAACUGCGCUGUCCAUGUUGCAGCUGAGAGUGAGCCCAUCGUAAUAUCAGAUCGGGAGGAGGAGGAGGAAGAAAAAAAGGGAGAACCCAUUGUGAUAUCAGAGGGAGGAGAGGAGGAGGAACCCAUCAUUAUUUCGGAGGAAGAAGAGGAGGAGGAAGAUCCCAUCGAGAUAUCUGAUGAAGAUGAGGAGGAGGAAGAUCCCAUCGAAAUCUCUGAUGAAGACGAGGAGGAGGAAGAUGCAAUUGAGAUCUCUGAUGAAGAGGAGGAAGAAGUAGAGGAGGAUGACCUCAUUGUGAUUUUGGUUAAAGAGGAGGAGGAAGAAGAUUUGGAAGAUUUGGAGGUGGAUACCUUCAAAAUAGCCAACAAUCAGCCGAUGCCCUCCGUUUGCCCCCAGAAGUCCAGGGCACCAGCGCCAGAACAAUGUCAGGGAUGAUGGGAGUUGUGGCUCUUCACCUGGCCUGGAACUCACCACCUGGUUGUGCACCACGCUGACCAGUUUUGGCCAGUUGUUGUAUCUUUGCAAGAGUUGCAGAG
Molecule: RNA transcript, 3989 nt
Organism: Sceloporus undulatus (fence lizard)
Lineage: Eukaryota; Metazoa; Chordata; Lepidosauria; Squamata; Phrynosomatidae
Gene name: major centromere autoantigen B-like
Exons: 2
Source: RefSeq, a predicted model, not a curated record